Small nuclear RNA from Pongo abelii (Sumatran orangutan), 106 nucleotides. The record is from Ensembl. NCBI's taxonomy places the organism in Eukaryota, Metazoa, Chordata, Mammalia, Primates, Hominidae.
GUGCUCAUUUCAGAAGCACAUAUACUAAAAUUAGAACAAUACAGAGAAGAUUAGAAUGCCUCCUGGCAAAGGUGACAUGCAAAUUUAUGAAGCAUUCUGUAUUUGU